This 340-nucleotide unclassified non-coding RNA is filed under the name soil metagenome. RNAcentral describes it as "partial contains 5.8S ribosomal RNA, internal transcribed spacer 2, and large subunit ribosomal RNA". The stretch from base 1 to 119 matches the Rfam family "5.8S ribosomal RNA", at positions 35 to 154 of the family's 154-position model. The record is from RNAcentral.
GAUGAAGAACGCAGCGAAAUGCGAUAAGUAGUGUGAAUUGCAGAAUUCAGUGAAUCAUCGAAUCUUUGAACGCACAUUGCGCCUUUGGUAUUCCAAAGGGCAUGCCUGUUCGAGCGUCAUUUGUACCCUCAAGCUUUGCUUGGUGUUGGGCGUCUUGUCUCUAGCUUUGCUGGAGACUCGCCUUAAAGUAAUUGGCAGCCGGCCUACUGGUUUCGGAGCGCAGCACAAGUCGCACUCUCUAUCAGCAAAGGUCUAGCAUCCAUUAAGCCUUUUUUUCAACUUUUGACCUCGGAUCAGGUAGGGAUACCCGCUGAACUUAAGCAUAUCAAUAAGCGGAGGA